GCCAUCCAGAUAUGCUGCCUCUACGUGGCGGAUGGCAGGCAACGAGGAAAUAUCUCGGCUAAAGCAUAU
RNAcentral lists this ribozyme (69 nucleotides) under unclassified sequences. Its description in RNAcentral is "HDV ribozyme from F. prausnitzii". It matches the Rfam family "HDV ribozyme from F. prausnitzii". The record is from RNAcentral.